GAGUACACGAGCGGCGAACGGGUGAGUAACACGUGAGCAACCUGCCCUUCUCAUCGGAAUAAGCGUUGGAAACGACGUCUAAUGCCGAAUACGACCUCAGAAGGCAUCUUCAGAGGUGGAAAGCUCCGGCGGAGAAGGAUGGGCUCGCGGCCUAUCAGCUUGUUGGUGGGGUAACGGCCCACCAAGGCGACGACGGGUAGCCGGCCUGAGAGGGUGACCGGCCACACUGGGACUGAGACACGGCCCAGACUCCUACGGGAGGCAGCAGUGGGGAAUAUUGGACAAUGGGCGAAAGCCUGAUCCAGCAACGCCGCGUGAGGGAUGACGGCCUUCGGGUUGUAAACCUCUUUCAGCACCGACGAAGCGAAAGUGACGGUAGGUGCAGAAGAAGGACCGGCCAACUACGUGCCAGCAGCCGCGGUAAUACGUAGGGUCCGAGCGUUGUCCGGAAUUAUUGGGCGUAAAGGGCUCGUAGGCGGUUUGUCGCGUCGGGAGUGAAAACUCAGGGCUCAACCCUGAGCGUGCUUCCGAUACGGGCAGACUAGAGGUAUGCAGGGGAGAACGGAAUUCCUGGUGUAGCGGUGGAAUGCGCAGAUAUCAG
Molecule: ribosomal RNA, 601 nt
Filed under: Aeromicrobium halocynthiae
Lineage: Bacteria; Bacillati; Actinomycetota; Actinomycetes; Propionibacteriales; Nocardioidaceae
Description: bacterial SSU rRNA
Rfam family: Bacterial small subunit ribosomal RNA
Source: RNAcentral